CCAGUUGACGGGGGUGGCGGUGCGUGGUGGACUGCCCCGAGCCGAAGUACGGCGGCAGAGAGGAAGCCGGUGCGAGUCCGGCGCGGUCCCGCCACUGUCACCGGAGAAAGCGCUCCCCCAGUACGAGCCACGGCCCACCCAGGGUGGUCCCGGCCCGCGGGGAGCCGCCGAUCCGGAAGCCAGGAGACUCUCGCCGUCGUCAUCACGUCGAA
This 212-nucleotide non-coding RNA is filed under the name Streptomyces albus. RNAcentral also lists the same sequence under 1 other name. The record is from RNAcentral. Lineage: Bacteria; Bacillati; Actinomycetota; Actinomycetes; Kitasatosporales; Streptomycetaceae.